GAUGAACGCUGGCGGCGUGCCUAAUACAUGCAAGUCGAGCGAACAGAUGAGGAGCUUGCUCCUCUGACGUUAGCGGCGGACGGGUGAGUAACACGUGGAUAACCUACCUAUAAGACUGGGAUGACUUCGGGAAACCGGAGCUAAUACCGGAUAAUAUAUUGAACCGCAUGGUUCAAUAGUGAAAGACGGUUUUGCUGUCACUUAUAGAUGGAUCCGCGCCGCAUUAGCUAGUUGGUAAGGUAACGGCUUACCAAGGCAACGAUGCGUAGCCGACCUGAGAGGGUGAUCGGCCACACUGGAACUGAGACACGGUCCAGACUCCUACGGGAGGCAGCAGUAGGGAAUCUUCCGCAAUGGGCGUAAGCUUGACGGAGCAACGCCGCGUGAGUGAUGAAGGUCUUCGGAUCGUAAAACUCUGUUAUUAGGGAAGAACAAAUGUGUAAGUAACUAUGCACGUCUUGACGGUACCUAAUCAGAAAGCCACGGCUAACUACGUG
This 497-nucleotide ribosomal RNA is filed under the name uncultured bacterium. Its description in RNAcentral is "partial 16S ribosomal RNA". It matches the Rfam family "Bacterial small subunit ribosomal RNA", at positions 28 to 507 of the family's 1533-position model. The record is from RNAcentral.